This is a long non-coding RNA of Orcinus orca (killer whale), 522 nucleotides long. RefSeq lists it as uncharacterized. NCBI's taxonomy places the organism in Eukaryota, Metazoa, Chordata, Mammalia, Artiodactyla, Delphinidae. The record is from RefSeq and is a predicted model, not a curated record. The transcript is spliced from 4 exons.
GGAACUGUUGCCCAUGGCUGGUGAAAACAAAGUGGUACGUCUGUCUUGGGAAACAAUCUGGCAGUGCCUCCACACUUAACUCCAGUGCCAUGGACGAUAUGGUCCAUCACUAACGGGUCAGCCCUGGCUACACCAGUGGACGGGUACCAGGGAGCAUCAAGAGUGAUGUUUUUGGUGUUUCCAGUCUCCUGGAGUGUGUUUCAUGAAGCCCAGAACUCCUCUAUGUCUUGGGGCACGUAGUGAGACAAAGUGGAAAAACACAGCCUUCCCUCAAGGAGUCAAGGUUUUGCGGCUAAUACCGACAAGCUGGUUUGCAAGGUGUGUCCCUCAAGAAAUAGUUACAUGAUACAGUAUCACGUUUUCUGAAUAUUCAGUGAUAUUAAAACUGAUUUUUAAAUGCUAUUAAAAAUUGGUGCUUUAAAUUACAUGUCUAAAAAGUGAUAAUUAUAACUGAGUUGGGUUGUAUAUAUACCUUUCUUACAAAAGUCUUUGAAUGCCAAAUGCCUCUGUUAAUAGCAGCUA